CCUACUGUGGCUGCUUCCUCUGCUCCCCAGCCUGGGUCCUGAGGGCCUGGCUUAAGGGAACUGCUGCCAGAAGGCUGGGAGUGUAGGCAGUGUUCGGGUGCCCAGCUGUGCCCUGUCUGACCUCAUGGCCACCCACAAGCUGGCACCCCCCACAGGCCUCUUGGGGAAGCCUGUACUUUCCACCGCCGGAGGCGGGUACCGCGUGGAAGCCAGGCUCAGGC
RNAcentral lists this long non-coding RNA (221 nucleotides) under Homo sapiens (human). RNAcentral describes it as "HSALNT0182967". The record is from RNAcentral. Lineage: Eukaryota; Metazoa; Chordata; Mammalia; Primates; Hominidae.